Long non-coding RNA from Helicoverpa armigera (cotton bollworm), 1293 nucleotides. RefSeq lists it as uncharacterized. The transcript has 2 exons. Lineage: Eukaryota; Metazoa; Arthropoda; Insecta; Lepidoptera; Noctuidae. The record is from RefSeq and is a predicted model, not a curated record.
ACAGAUAUAGCCAGGGUCUGUCAAGUUUGUUCUACGAAUUGCAUUAAGGUGGGCUUGAAAACAAGAGAGAGUCAACGACAUCAGAGUAAAAGAGAUAAAUAUAUAAUGUUGCCACCAAAAAUACAAUUUCGUAUUCUCCCUAAUAAUGAGCGUAUAAAUUGAUUUUUAAAGUAAAUUACCCUUGAAGAUACUUUUAGCUAUUAUUCUAAUGCCAAAAAAUAUACUUAGUUGAGAAAUAUUAGAUAUAAAAUUUAAUAUUACUUAUUAGAAAAUAUAUAUGGGGGAUUAUGUGUGGCAACACUAAUGUCCGGACGCCAUAUUGGUUUUGACAUUGUUGACGUCACAAGAAAAAUGUCUGCGGCCGGUUGCGCACCAUUUUAUCUUGUACUAAUGUUUAUUUGUAAUAAAUAAACUACUUCCAUUUAAUUCUACAUACAUUGAUAACGUUGAGUCGAGCUUGCUCCUCCGUUGCUGUGUUUUGGUGAAAUUAAGUGUGUAUUUGUGAGAUAUAGACUCGGUGUUGAGACAGUGACUUGUUUGAUUUUGUUUUGUGUUUAAUUCGCGAUGAGUUCACAAAAAGAAAACACAAGAAUCUGCUGCUUGUGUGGAUCUUCACCUUCUAAAGAUCCCAGCAUCACUUUGCAUCGGUUUCCAAAGCCUGGCACUAAAAUGCUCUGCGUUGUGAAUUAUGGGCAAAGUAUUGCUUCCCAAACGAAGCCUGGUCUUCACCAAAAUUCCAGGACGCACUCCAUAAACAACAUAAGAUGCUAUGCAGCAAACAUUUCAAAAGCACAUGCUUUAAUGAGAAGAAGUUGUUCAGAACAGCUGUACCUGAUGUAGUAAAUGUUUGUAAAUAUCAAAAUAUAAUUGGUCUAGUGUCUUUCUCUUCCUAAUCAUUUCUAUAAUAAAGAAGAAAUAACACCAACGUUUAUUACACAAUAUGAUAGAAUAAUUUAAACCAUGUCUGUAAACUUGUUGUUUGUUAAACAAAUCGAUAGUAUUCUUUAUUGUAUAAUAACAUAGUCUUGUUUUUUAUAAUAGUAACACUUUAAAACUAACUAGAAUUUUUGUUUGUUUAUGUUUUGAUGUUGAAAUUGUAUGCAAUAGGCCCAUCCAUACUUGUUAUUUUGGACGAAAAUGUCUGAAAUACCUACCUAAAUUGAUUAAAUUCAUGUAUUUUAAAAUUCAUUACAUAGGUGCACAUACUUGUGAUUUAUGAACACCUUUUGUACCCUAUUUCUGGAAAUAAAUUAUAAUUAUUAACAUGCUAAAUAAAAAACUCUUGUACUGUAA